Long non-coding RNA from Xiphias gladius (swordfish), 1002 nucleotides. RefSeq lists it as uncharacterized. The record is from RefSeq and is a predicted model, not a curated record. The transcript is spliced from 2 exons. NCBI's taxonomy places the organism in Eukaryota, Metazoa, Chordata, Actinopteri, Istiophoriformes, Xiphiidae.
GCUGUCCUCUCUGUCAACACGACGCAGUUCCUGUCGCCACUUCGCGGCGAAGGAGCUGCCGGCGACCGACUUCGCCCGAAGCCUCGGCUGAAUCAAAAGUGAAAGCACCGCCGCCGCCGCUCCGGCACUCAGCGGUCUGGGUCUUUGUUCACUUGGACCGGCGCUCACGAACUUUGCGGAUGGACUAACCAUUCGCGCGUUAACCCCCGCGCGGGGGGCACCAUUUGAGGGUAGCAGUCUGCAAAGGAUCAAAAAAGUAGUCCUUGUGCCCUCCACCUCUAAGUCUGCAACAGAAGAAGGAAGAAGACAGCAUGAUGGAGGUCUGUCUGUAGAGGAACUGCGUCUGAAACACAGAAGGAGACAGACUGUGGGAAUUGUGAAUACAUACAUUCAGCAUCAAAAUAUGGACAUACUGUAGCGUAAAAAGGAGUCUGUAGUCAGUAAGUGUGACAUUCACAUCGGCUUUUUAAUGGUUUUAGCAGUUUGCCCAGUCCAGAGUUUACCUGCCUGAGGAGAUGAGCUCCUAAAUGUCAAUAAAAGUAUAUCAUCAUGAUAUAUUGUUUUAAUAUUUAAGAAGAGUUAAUACGAAAUUUCAUUGUAACACAGUGUAUGUUCACUUGACCGCUGCUGACCUGAUAUUUUUAUGGGAUUUGAUCGUAGUAUGAAAAAGCAUGACACUGUAAACUGAACUAAAGGGGUUAUACACGGGCAUUUGUCAUAUCAAAUGUUUAACAUACGGUAGCCCGGCUUCACCCACACCUCUGUUUGAUGACUUCAUGAUUGAUUUGCUGUUUGUUAGCUACGCGACAGAAGUAUUUUAAAUGUAAGAUACUGUAUGUUCACACAAGUGCAAACAUCAAAGAAAGAAAUCAAGCUAUGUAUAGCCACAAUUUUUAUUUUAUAAGAAUAAAAUCUUGCUUUAUGAUAGAAGUUCAAUAACAUCUGACUAGGUCACAAAGGCUCUAUAAUAAUAAAUUAUACAUAAUAAAUGAUAAUAAAUAA